This 76-nucleotide transfer RNA is filed under the name Nitrososphaerota archaeon. RNAcentral describes it as "Thaumarchaeota archaeon (hot springs metagenome) tRNA-Pro". It matches the Rfam family "tRNA". From Rfam's summary of the family: Transfer RNA (tRNA) molecules are approximately 80 nucleotides in length. Their secondary structure includes four short double-helical elements and three loops (D, anti-codon, and T loops). Further hydrogen bonds mediate the characteristic L-shaped molecular structure. tRNAs have two regions of fundamental functional importance: the anti-codon, which is responsible for specific mRNA codon recognition, and the 3' end, to which the tRNAs corresponding amino acid is attached (by aminoacyl-tRNA synthetases). tRNAs cope with the degeneracy of the genetic code in two manners: having more than one tRNA (with a specific anti-codon) for a particular amino acid; and 'wobble' base-pairing, i.e. permitting non-standard base-pairing at the 3rd anti-codon position. Lineage: Archaea; Thermoproteati; Nitrososphaerota. The record is from RNAcentral. RNAcentral also lists the same sequence under 2 other names.
GGGGCCGUCGUCUAGCCUGGUCUAGGAUGCCAGCCUGGGGCGCUGGCGGUCGUGGGUUCAAAUCCCACCGGCCCCA